GGGGAAUAUUGGACAAUGGGCGCAAGCCUGAUCCAGCCAUGCCGCGUGAGUGAUGAAGGCCUUAGGGUUGUAAAGCUCUUUCGCCAGGGACGAUAAUGACGGUACCUGGAUAAGAAGCCCCGGCUAACUUCGUGCCAGCAGCCGCGGUAAUACGAAGGGGGCUAGCGUUGUUCGGAUUUACUGGGCGUAAAGCGCACGUAGGCGGAUCUUUAAGUCAGGGGUGAAAUCCCGAGGCUCAACCUCGGAACUGCCUUUGAUACUGGAGAUCUUGAGUUCGGGAGAGGUGAGUGGAGCUGCGAGUGUAGAGGUGAAAUUCGUAGAUAUUCGCAAGAACACCAGUGGCGAAGGCGGCUCACUGGCCCGAUACUGACGCUGAGGUGCGAAAGCGUGGGGAGCAAAC
RNAcentral lists this ribosomal RNA (400 nucleotides) under uncultured bacterium. RNAcentral's name for it is "bacterial SSU rRNA". It matches the Rfam family "Bacterial small subunit ribosomal RNA", at positions 356 to 773 of the family's 1533-position model. The record is from RNAcentral.